UACGAAGGGGGCCAGCGUUGCUCGGAAUCACUGGGCGUAAAGGGUGCGUAGGUGGCGCCGUAAGUCGGGUGUGAAAUUUCGGAGCUUAACUCCGAAACUGCAUUCGAUACUGCGGUGCUUGAGGACUGGAGAGGAGACUGGAAUUCAUGGUGUAGCAGUGAAAUGCGUAGAGAUCAUGAGGAAGACCAGUGGCGAAGGCGGGUCUCUGGACAGUUCCUGACACUGAGGCACGAAGGCCAGGGGAGCAAACGGG
Molecule: ribosomal RNA, 253 nt
Filed under: uncultured bacterium
Lineage: Bacteria
Description: partial 16S ribosomal RNA
Rfam family: Bacterial small subunit ribosomal RNA
Source: RNAcentral